RNAcentral lists this transfer RNA (82 nucleotides) under Vischeria cf. polyphem. RNAcentral's name for it is "Eustigmatos cf. polyphem tRNA-Leu". It matches the Rfam family "tRNA". Rfam says of the family: Transfer RNA (tRNA) molecules are approximately 80 nucleotides in length. Their secondary structure includes four short double-helical elements and three loops (D, anti-codon, and T loops). The record is from RNAcentral. Lineage: Eukaryota; Eustigmatophyceae; Eustigmatales; Chlorobotryaceae.
ACUUUUAUGGUGGAAUUGGUAGACACAAUAGACUCAAAAUCUAUUGCUAAACAGCGUGCUGGUUCGAGUCCAGUUAAAAGUA